CCUACGGGAGGCAGCAGUGAGGAAUAUUGGUCAAUGGACGAGAGUCUGAACCAGCCAAGUAGCGUGAAGGAUGACUGCCCUAUGGGUUGUAAACUUCUUUUAUAUGGGAAUAAAAUGUUCCACGUGUGGGAUUUUGUAUGUACCAUAUGAAUAAGGAUCGGCUAACUCCGUGCCAGCAGCCGCGGUAAUACGGAGGAUCCGAGCGUUAUCCGGAUUUAUUGGGUUUAAAGGGAACGUAGGUGGAUUGUUAAGUCAGUUGUGAAAGUUUGCGGCUCAACCGUAAAAUUGCAGUUGAAACUGGCAGUCUUGAGUACAGUAGAGGUGGGCGGAAUUCGUGGUGUAGCGGUGAAAUGCUUAGAUAUCACGAAGAACUCCGAUUGCGAAGGCAGUUCACUGGACUGCAACUGACACUGAGGCUCGAAAGUGUGGGUAUCAAACAGGAUUAGAUACCCCAGUAGUC
Molecule: ribosomal RNA, 460 nt
Filed under: uncultured bacterium
Lineage: Bacteria
Description: partial 16S ribosomal RNA
Rfam family: Bacterial small subunit ribosomal RNA
Source: RNAcentral